RNAcentral lists this ribosomal RNA (252 nucleotides) under uncultured bacterium. RNAcentral's name for it is "partial 16S ribosomal RNA". It matches the Rfam family "Bacterial small subunit ribosomal RNA", at positions 524 to 776 of the family's 1533-position model. The record is from RNAcentral.
UACGUAGGUCCCGAGCGUUGUCCGGAUUUAUUGGGCGUAAAGCGAGCGCAGGUGGUUUAUUAAGUCUGGUGUAAAAGGCAGUGGCUCAACCAUUGUAUGCAUUGGAAACUGGUAGACUCGAGUGUAGGAGAGGAGAGUGGAAUUCCAUGUGUAGCGGUGAAAUGCGUAGAUAUAUGGAGGAACACCGGUGGCGAAAGCGGCUCUCUGGCCUGUAACUGACACUGAGGCUCGAAAGCGUGGGGAGCAAACAGG